Molecule: ribosomal RNA, 497 nt
Filed under: uncultured bacterium
Lineage: Bacteria
Description: partial 16S ribosomal RNA
Rfam family: Bacterial small subunit ribosomal RNA
Source: RNAcentral
GAUGAACGCUGGCGGCGUGCCUAAUACAUGCAAGUCGAGCGAACGGACGAGAAGCUUGCUUCUCUGAUGUUAGCGGCGGACGGGUGAGUAACACGUGGAUAACCUACCUAUAAGACUGGGAUAACUUCGGGAAACCGGAGCUAAUACCGGAUGAUAUUUUGAACCGCAUGGUUCAUAAGUGAAAGACGGUCUUGCUGUCACUUAUAGCUGGAUCCGCGCUGCAUUAGCUAGUUGGUAAGGUAACGGCUUACCAAGGCAACGAUGCAUAGCCGACCUGAGAGGGUGAUCGGCCACACUGGAACUGAGACACGGUCCAGACUCCUACGGGAGGCAGCAGUAGGGAAUCUUCCGCAAUGGGCGAAAGCCUGACGGAGCAACGCCGCGUGAGUGAUGAAGGUCUUCGGAUCGUAAAACUCUGUUAUUAGGGAAGAACAUAUGUGUAAGUAACUGUGCACAUCUUGGCGGUACCUAAUCAGAAAGCCACGGCUAACUACGUG